GGAGAGGUACUCAAGCGGCCAACGAGGUCGCGCUGUAAACGCGAUGUCUUCGGACUACGAAGGUUCGAAUCCUUCCCUCUCCA
This 83-nucleotide transfer RNA is filed under the name Deltaproteobacteria bacterium RIFCSPHIGHO2_01_FULL_43_49. RNAcentral's name for it is "tRNA-Tyr". It matches the Rfam family "tRNA". From Rfam's summary of the family: Transfer RNA (tRNA) molecules are approximately 80 nucleotides in length. Their secondary structure includes four short double-helical elements and three loops (D, anti-codon, and T loops). RNAcentral also lists the same sequence under 6 other names. Lineage: Bacteria; Deltaproteobacteria. The record is from RNAcentral.